This 248-nucleotide ribosomal RNA is filed under the name Staphylococcus aureus. RNAcentral describes it as "partial 16S ribosomal RNA". It matches the Rfam family "Bacterial small subunit ribosomal RNA", at positions 458 to 705 of the family's 1533-position model. Lineage: Bacteria; Bacillati; Bacillota; Bacilli; Caryophanales; Staphylococcaceae. RNAcentral also lists the same sequence under 1 other name. The record is from RNAcentral.
CUGUGCACAUCUUGACGGUACCUAAUCAGAAAGCCACGGCUAACUACGUGCCAGCAGCCGCGGUAAUACGUAGGUGGCAAGCGUUAUCCGGAAUUAUUGGGCGUAAAGCGCGCGUAGGCGGUUUUUUAAGUCUGAUGUGAAAGCCCACGGCUCAACCGUGGAGGGUCAUUGGAAACUGGAAAACUUGAGUGCAGAAGAGGAAAGUGGAAUUCCAUGUGUAGCGGUGAAAUGCGCAGAGAUAUGGAGGA